This is a long non-coding RNA of Sardina pilchardus (European sardine), 973 nucleotides long. RefSeq lists it as uncharacterized. The record is from RefSeq and is a predicted model, not a curated record. The transcript has 4 exons. NCBI's taxonomy places the organism in Eukaryota, Metazoa, Chordata, Actinopteri, Clupeiformes, Clupeidae.
AGGGGGACUUGUGAUUUCCCUGGCUAUCACAUCAGGAAUCACCAUAGCUGUAAUUCUUGCUCUCAUACUGUUGGUGUUUGUCAGGUGGUAUACAAUGGCAAGGAUAAACACCACCACAAGACAGAGUGACCAUUCUAAUGUCCAUGAUGACACAUACACGGCUCUCAACCCCUGCACCAUAUCCUCUGAGUAUGACACACUGCAGAAUGUGAGGAGUCUGAGUCACACAUACAUGCCUCUCCAGAGAAGAGCUCAGGACUCAGGAGUGUAUGAGACUCUGCAGAGAAGAGAGACGCCCCCUACAGAGAUGGAGUUAGAGGAUCUCAGGAUGAAUUGACACCAACCAUGAUUGUCCAUGUUCUGAAAUGGAUGACUGAAACUGUAGUAGCAGCCUCAUGCUUCUGUUCUGUAGCUGUGGAAGUUGUGCUGUUUUAAAUGGCAUAUUUAGAUGUUGUCAGUCACUACAACUCUCUGCCUUGUCCUAGAAAAUCUGCUGUUAUGGGACAGUCAGUUACACCGUUUAUUUUUCUGAUGUACAAUGAAGCACAGUACUAUUUUCGUCUCCAAAAUACUGCAUUAUGUGCAGCAAAUUACUUUAUAGUGCAAUGGUCCAAAACUAUGUCCGGCCUCCUCAUUUUGGAUGGCAACCCAAAACAUGUCCGUGGUAUAUAGUACUGGGUACACACAGAAAUAUGACACAGUCAAACUAUUACCUCCAUAACUUCCCCUAUUCAUUUUCUAUGGCAAGUCUCAACAAUACACAUGUAAUACUUUUUCGUCCACUAUAGUUGUUUUGGUGCUGUUUCAAGUUUGCCAUUGAAAACGGAAUUUAAUGUAGGCCUAUCUGCAAACAAUGUAUUCUAAAGUAGGAGAAAGUUAAAAUGGUGGUCAUUUCAUAUAUAUGUAUAUUCAGUACUUCAUAAAACUCUCAUAGUUUGAGAAUUUUGGUUCACAAUUUUUCAAUAAAAUGUAC